UACGUAGGGCGCAAGCGUUAUCCGGAAUUAUUGGGCGUAAAGAGCUCGUAGGCGGUCUGUCGCGUCUGCUGUGAAAACCUAGGGCUUAACUCUGGGCGUGCAGUGGGUACGGGCAGGCUAGAGUGCGGUAGGGGAGACUGGAAUUCCUGGUGUAGCGGUGAAAUGCGCAGAUAUCAGGAGGAACACCGGUGGCGAAGGCGGGUCUCUGGGCCGAUACUGACGCUGAGGAGCGAAAGCGUGGGGAGCGAACAGG
Molecule: ribosomal RNA, 253 nt
Filed under: uncultured bacterium
Lineage: Bacteria
Description: partial 16S ribosomal RNA
Rfam family: Bacterial small subunit ribosomal RNA
Source: RNAcentral